This 421-nucleotide ribosomal RNA is filed under the name Fusobacteriota bacterium. Its description in RNAcentral is "Fusobacteria bacterium partial 16S ribosomal RNA". It matches the Rfam family "Bacterial small subunit ribosomal RNA", at positions 355 to 776 of the family's 1533-position model. Lineage: Bacteria; Fusobacteriati; Fusobacteriota. The record is from RNAcentral.
UGGGGAAUAUUGCACAAUGGACGGAAGUUUGAUGCAGCGACGCCGCGUGGAGGGUGUAGGCCUUCGGGUUGUGAACUCCUUUUUCUCGCGAAAAAGGCACAGUUUUGGCUGUGUUGAUGGUAGUGGGGGAAGAAGCGCCGGCUAAAUACGUGCCAGCAGCCGCGGUAAUACGUAUGGAGCGAGCGUUGUCCGGAAUUAUUGGGCGUAAAGGGUGCGCAGGCGGCUUUACAAGUUGGAUGUGAAAUAUUGUGGCUCAACCACAAACGUGCAUCCAAAACUGCAAAGCUUGAGUUAAGGAGAGGUAAGUGGAAUUCCUGGUGUAGCGGUGGAAUGCGUAGAUAUCAGGAGGAAUACCGGUGGCGAAGGCGACUUACUGGACUUAAACUGACGCUCAGGCACGAAAGCGUGGGGAGCAAACAGG